GAUUAGGGAUACUAAUGCUAGUCAUUGUUUUUGUGACUUUGUUCCACGAGAAUAUCCGCUCUUCAAUUUCAACAUUUGCUACUGGAAUAGAGCAACUCCGGACAAAUCUUGGAAAAGUCACAUUUACACCAGAAGAUUGGAAAGGUUCUGAACUAAACUAUGGGCAUGAAUUGUGGGUGCCAUUUAAAUAUCUAGGACGAUUCUUUUGGCCGUUCAAAGUAAAAGGACAUACAUCAAUAUCAACAUCUGUUAAAGCCGUAUUUUUCAACGUACUCUCGAUAUUUUGGCUCCGUCCAGUUGUUGAUCGUCUGCAAUUUCUCACGCACUCACCUUCUAAAUUACGAGUCAUCUAUAGACAGCAGGCCAAAGACAAAUCUCUUGCCCAAUACUAUAUGAUAAUGGAACAGAUUCCUGAGCUUCUCAUCCAGUUUUACAUUUUUCAAAUCUACUUCAACAUUUUGAGGGAAGAUGGGGAUUUAAGAAGUUCUGGAUGUACGGACUAUCAUAGUUUCGAUUACGAUUCUGGGGAUUUUGAGUGUGUCGAAAACCUACUGAGAUUAAAGAUAUGCGCGUCAUGGGUGGAAGUAUAUUCAAUGAUAGUGCCGUUUGUGAAGAUUCCCAACAGCGUGAUCGGUUUGGAAGUGAUACUUCGGAAACUCCAUCCAGCAACACCAAAGAUGUCUACUGUUGCUCUCGUGCUAUUGUAUAUAGCUUAUGUUCUGAUGAUUCCUUCUAGACUCUUCCUAAUUGCAGCAGUUAUGCACUCAGUCCCCAAUCACUUCUAUGUUGCUGGAUAUCUUGGAUUAUCAACUUUAGUUUGGUUUGUUGUUAAUAAGAUCACGAUAAGUAUAGCCAGCAAGAAAAUACCAAGUUCAAAGGAUAAAGAAGAAGAACUUACGAUACUACGACGUAUUGGUGAUAUGUGGUCUCUCCUGCUAUUCAGUUUUAGAGAUGUUAUUGUCAUUUCGCUACGUCGACCGAAUGCAUAUCUUAUUUCCCCCUCAGAAGUAGGCUACAAAACUUUACGGACCUGGAAAGAGAUGAUGCUCAUAUCAACCUACAUGUUUGUCGAGGGAGUUAUAGGCGCAGUUUAUGUUGAGAAUAACUACCCCUGCGGUAGGAAUACUGAUAUCUUCAAAUACCAGGGAUGGCUCUACCUAACACUACUAAUUAUUUCAACUACCCUCAUAACUUUGCUUUCUUACAUUCUCCAGGUCAAUAAAACGAACUUUAAAAACUUCCGAAUGAAGUCAGCCUUUAUCUGCGGAUAUGGGUUAAUAAUGUGGUUAAUAGUAUCUUUGACGUUGUUUAUCUCGAGAACAAGACAUGGCCUGAUUGAGCUAAUAUUGGUGAUCAUCGUAUUAGUGAUCCUGAUGAUUAUCUUUCUUGUAGCAGCUAUAUUGUUAAGAAAGUUUAGUGAAGCAAAACUACCGAAAAAAGGGAAGGAUGAAGAACAAGAAAAACAAGCUUCCGCCUGCUGUCCAAUCUCUUAUUUCAAAAAGUCUUGCUCUAAAUCUAUCUGUUGCAGAUGUAAGACUACUUCAGAUGAACUUUCUUUGUCAACCCUGCCACUAUCAACUCAGACUCAUCGUUGUGAAACUGAAACGGAACGCAGCACACUUUUAGCAAACAUACAGGAAGAGGAAAUCAGUGAUAUUGAAGCUCAGAAUGUAGAAGCUGACAUUACACCAGCAGAAGACGAACACGGGGUAUUCCAAGACUCGCAUGUAUAGUUUAAAAGCUUUAUUAUAUUUUUUAUUAUUAUGUUUUAUUUAUUAUUUGUAAGUUUUAAAUGAUGCCUAUCGUAUCAUUCAAAUGUUUCAAGAACCCACCUUGAAGAAGACACAACACAUAUUGAUAGAUCUAAUAUAAGGAUGAGAACCGGAGUUCACAACUUUCAUCAGAAGUGCUUCCUCUAUAAGGGAAACAAUUUCAUACUUUUCACGGAUACAAAGAUGAUAUUUUUAUCCUUUCACCUUAAUCUUAUUAUCAUUAGUUCUCUUUUACUUUCUUUAUCCUUCUCAACUCAACACUAUCCAACCCGACUCUUUAAAGACAAAAACCUCCGCAAGCAACUCAAGAAUCGCUACAUUUGAGUUCUCAAAUAACAGGCGAGGAUCAGUGAAAAGCAGUGAUCAGGAGCAGUUUACUUGUGGUUUAGUUGGUCGCUAUGGUAACCCUAGACACUCACGUUUAACUGAUCCUGUUGAGACACCUGCACUAAUUUGGAGAUAGUAAUGUGACUGAAAGGCGACUGAAAGACACGUGAUGCCCAUAUAAGGACACUUAUCUUCCAAAUCACGCCCACAGUACCUCCUGUACUCCUUCACUGAUACUGCAGAGAAGAAAGCGGUGUUUAUAUCCCUUAUAUGGGUAUCACGUGUUUGUGAGUCAAGAACUUCUUUUUGUGUUAGAGCUAACUUCACUUCCUCAUUGAACAAAAGGUUAUGAGCGCUGCCAACUUUAACAUCCUUCCAAAGAAUACACUGCCACCCUUUCCACUCCUCUUCAUCAUCCCUUCCGUUCCCUCCUAAGAAGAUUAACCUCUGUGAAAAAGACAGUUGUUCCUGGUUCCAUCAUCUUAAGUAAAAUAUAUCUACAUUCGCUGAUUGUGCGAUAUAUUCUGUCUGGUUACACGAUAUUAAAAAUGUGGGGUAAAUCAAUAAUUAUGUCUAAGAAUUGAGUUGUCAGAAAAAUGAACAUUUAGCUAUAGGUUUUUAUUGUAAGUAUAGUUGUGAGUUAACAAAUCUUACUAAGUUUUUAAAUCCAGCUGCACUGCUGUAGUCAGUAGUUACCGUCCAGUAAAAAUGUAAACUUUUUAUUAAUAUCACUCAGAUAUUGUUCCGUAUAUCUACGUUUUCAGCUGUUUUAGCUAGGUUAUGUAACCUCAAUUAACUUUCGUCAAAUUACCUAAUUAAAUUAUUAUUGCCCAACUAUCCUAUAGGGUUUUAUUGGAAACUUCCAGUACUAUUUUGCCUUAAAAUAACACUUUUAGUCUAUGUGAGAAAUUUUCUAACUGAUAUGUUAGUAAAAGUGUUAAACUGUUUUAAAUUUGACCGAUCAUAAUCAGACUAUUAUAUAUCAGGGCAUUUUAAAAACAGCGAUUCAGUUGUUUAUUAUUAAUUUUAUUUGCAAAGCUACUUUAAUUUUGCGGUUUUGAUAAUGUGUUAAAUCCACAGGGUUGUUAUAAAUUUAACUACUUCAACGUUGUUUUUUAUGGCUUGGUAUAAUGACCUUCAGAACUAA
Molecule: long non-coding RNA, 3246 nt
Organism: Bolinopsis microptera
Lineage: Eukaryota; Metazoa; Ctenophora; Tentaculata; Lobata; Bolinopsidae
Exons: 5
Source: RefSeq, a predicted model, not a curated record